Molecule: ribosomal RNA, 200 nt
Filed under: uncultured bacterium
Lineage: Bacteria
Description: partial 16S ribosomal RNA
Rfam family: Bacterial small subunit ribosomal RNA
Source: RNAcentral
UAGUCUGNAACCCGACUACAUGAAGCUGGAAUCGCUAGUAAUCGCGAAUCAGAAUGUCGCGGUGAAUACGUUCCCGGGUCUUGUACACACCGCCCGUCACACCAUGGGAGUCGGAAAUGCCCGAAGUCAGUGACCCAACCGUAAGGAGGGAGCUGCCGAAGGUGGAGCCGGUAACUGGGGUGAAGUCGUAACAAGGUAUC